This 19-nucleotide non-coding RNA is filed under the name Arabidopsis thaliana (thale cress). Lineage: Eukaryota; Viridiplantae; Streptophyta; Magnoliopsida; Brassicales; Brassicaceae. The record is from RNAcentral.
UGGUGAUACACUCCUUCUU